GAUGAACGCUGGCGGCGUGCCUAAUACAUGCAAGUCGAGCGAACAGACGAGGAGCUUGCUCCUCUGACGUUAGCGGCGGACGGGUGAGUAACACGUGGAUAACCUACCUAUAAGUCUGGGAUAACUUCGGGAAACCGGAGCUAAUACCGGAUAAUAUAUUGAACCGCAUGGUUCAAUAGUGAAAGACGGUUUUGCUGUCACUUAUAGAUGGAUCCGCGCCGCAUUAGCUAGUUGGUAAGGUAACGGCUUACCAAGGCAACGAUGCGUAGCCGACCUGAGAGGCUGAUCGGCCACACUGGAACUGAGACACGGUCCAGACUCCUACGGGAGGCAGCAGUAGGGAAUCUUCCGCAAUGGGCGAAAGCUUGACGGAGCAACGCCGCGUGAGUGAUGAAGGUCUUCGGAUCGUAAAACUCUGUUAUUAGGGAAGAACAAAUGUGUAAGUAACUAUGCACGUCUUGACGGUACCUAAUCAGAAAGCCACGGCUAACUACGUG
Molecule: ribosomal RNA, 497 nt
Filed under: uncultured bacterium
Lineage: Bacteria
Description: partial 16S ribosomal RNA
Rfam family: Bacterial small subunit ribosomal RNA
Source: RNAcentral